CAGAGAAGGCAACAAAAGCAAUGUAUGAGGUUUUAAAAAGAGGUCGCAUUCAUAAUUUAGCAAUUGAAUGUCAACUAGAACUUUUUAAUAAAAUGGUAAAGCCCAUUCUUUUGUAUGGCUCAGAAGUAUGGGGAUUUUGUAAAAAUAUUCAAUGUAUUGAAAGGGUACAAUUACGAUUUUGUAAAUUGUUACUUAAGUUAAAAUCAUCCACCCCAAAC
This 218-nucleotide long non-coding RNA is filed under the name Mytilus galloprovincialis (Mediterranean mussel). The record is from RNAcentral. Lineage: Eukaryota; Metazoa; Mollusca; Bivalvia; Mytilida; Mytilidae.